AUGGGGAGAAGGGAAACUUACGGGCUCAUAGAGACCAAUGCGGAGACCGCCGUAGAUGCACUGGCGGUGGAGGCCAGGGACGAUGCCCUUCCAGAGCGCGGCGGCGCCUUCCUCCUUGGCGAUGGUGGCGGCGGUGCCGAGCAGGCCACGGUACUUGGGCCCAGCGAGAUCCCCGGCGAUGGCCUUCUUCUGCAGCUGCAGCCUGACCUUGGCCGUGUCGAGGGGGAUCGUGGUGAUCUGGGAGAGGGGAAGCCCAUUCGAUUAAACCAGGAGGCGAAAAUCCAUGAGGAAAUAACGAGAAUAGCGGCGUGA
Molecule: ribosomal RNA, 312 nt
Filed under: Triticum aestivum (bread wheat)
Lineage: Eukaryota; Viridiplantae; Streptophyta; Magnoliopsida; Poales; Poaceae
Description: partial small subunit ribosomal RNA
Source: RNAcentral